AUUGAACGCUGGCGGCAGGCUUAACACAUGCAAGUCGAGCGAGCGGCGGACGGGUGAGUAAUGUCUGGGAAACUGCCUGAUGUAGGGGGAUAACUACUUGACACGGUAGCUGAUACAGAAUAACAUCAUAUGUGCCCAGAUGGGAUUAGCUAGUAGGUGGGGUAAUGGCGCACCUAGGCGACGAUCCCUAGCUGGUAUGAGAGGAUGACAAGCCACACUGGAACUGAGACACGGUCCAGACUCCUACGUGAGGCAGCAGUGGGGAAUAUUGCACAAUGGGCGCAAGCCUGAUGCAGCCAUGCCGCGUGUGUGAAGAAGGCCUUCGGGUUGUAAAGCACUUUCAGCGAGGAGGCGUUACUCGCAGAAGAAGCACCGGCUAACUCCGUGCCAGCAGCCGCGGUAAUAC
Molecule: ribosomal RNA, 406 nt
Filed under: uncultured bacterium
Lineage: Bacteria
Description: partial 16S ribosomal RNA
Rfam family: Bacterial small subunit ribosomal RNA
Source: RNAcentral